RNAcentral lists this long non-coding RNA (2017 nucleotides) under Helianthus annuus (common sunflower). Its description in RNAcentral is "hypothetical non coding rna". The record is from RNAcentral. Lineage: Eukaryota; Viridiplantae; Streptophyta; Magnoliopsida; Asterales; Asteraceae.
AUGAUUUCGUGACAACUUACAACUUUCCCUCAUCCAAUAGUACACCGAAACCCACUUCUACUGCUACUUCAAUAGUUUCACCUUGUCAAAUCCUGGGGCCGCUUAUGUCAAUUAUUUCAUUUUCUCCGCUCCAAAUAAAAAGUUUAACUACUUUGUCUUCAUGUUUUUUUUUUCUUUUUUACAGCAAAUUUCUUUUAAAUACAUGAUUUAUGAGACUUAAACUCAAAACCUCUUUCUUUCAUUUUCUUUGCGAAUGGAUCACCACUCCAUUAGUACUUUGUUUUUUUUUUUUUUUUUUUGGGCCAGCAAAAUGAGAUUUUAUUACUCAAUAAGAACGACAAAGUUUUGAUGUCUUCAACCGAUCUCUGAAUUUGGAUAUCCUUAGCUUUAAAGAUCUUUUCAUUUCUCUUAAGCCAUAGCAUCCAAAUUGUUUUGAAAGCAAUUGAUUUAAUGGUUUCCCUCUUUUCUUUCGACCGGUCCAGAUUGUUUAGCAUAUCUAUCCAUUCGAAUAAAUCUUGUGCUAUAAUGAGUUGAGGAGUUUUACACCACAACGCAAUAGCGGAUUAGAUAAACCAAGGAACUUGGCAUCUGAUGAAUAAAUGUUAUGGCUCGUCUAGCCUGAUAUUACAUCAGGUGUAAUCCUUCUCGAUGUUGGGUAUACCUCUGUGUUUUAUAUACCACUGGUACUUUGUCUUCAUGUUAUUUUACAAAAUAAUACAUAUCCCCUUAAUUCAAAAAUCAAAAUGACUUUUUCUUUUUUUAUAACAUAGUCACAAUUUUUAUAUUUUCUUUUAUAUAUUUCCAUACAUACAAAAAUAAAAGGCCGGCGGGAAUAGUUGAGCUAUUUGGUUGGCAAAAGUGGCGGCCAACCUUUUCCUUUUUUUUCAUAAUAUUCAUUCAAUGUCUACAAAGUCCAUGAGGGGAGGGGCAAUAGUGUUUGAUGUCUAUUACGCUAAAUGGGCGGUAGAGAGAAUACCCUCUAUUGGCCCAAUUAAUUUAUGAUUUUAUUCCGUUUUAAAAUUACGAUUUUGUCAUCAGUUCAAAAUUAUGUUUUUGCCCCCACUUAAAAAUAAAUUUACGCUUUUGCUCCCAGCUAAAUAUUUCAAUUUUGCCCCCGGUUAAAAAUUACGAUUUUGCCCCGUUUCAAUUUACAGUUUUGUCAUUAGUUUUUUCCCUUAAAAUUACAAUUUUGCCAUCAGUUCAAAAUUAUGUUUUUACCUCCACUUAAAAAUAAAUUUACGCUUUUCCUCCCAGCUAAAAAUUCAAAUUUUGCCCUCAGUUCAAAAUUACGAUUUUGCCACGUAUAAAUUUAUAAUUUUGCCAUUAGUUUUUUUCUCACAGUCAAGUUACGAUUUUGCCCUCAACUUAAAUUUACAUUUGCCCAUCGUUUUUGUUUGUUUUCCUGGUGAAAUUACAACUUUGCCCCCAAUGUAAAAUUACAGUCAUGCCGGCAGCUUCUUCGCACUCCCCCAUUGGUCCAUUUAAUUUACGAUUUAUCACUGAAUUAAAAUUAUGAUUCCGCCCUCAGUUAAAAAUUACGGUCUUAUCAUCGUUUUUGUUUUUUUUUUCUAGCAAAAUGAUAGUAAUCUUUUUUAAUUGAUUGAGAAUUAUUCGGCCAUCGCCCCGCAACGCGAACAGGGCAUCAACUAGUUUUUUACAAAAAGAUCCAAAGGACGUUACAGUCCGUCAAGAUACCUCAACAAAUUUCCCAAAAACCUACGGAACUCCAAAGGAUGUCAUUGAAUCUCCGCGAAUUAUCCUUACUCCGCGACUUAUCUCGCUCUCUCUCGCUUUGUUGACCACAAAGACAUAGCAUAAGUAGCUUACAAAAGGUAUUGUAAAUUUUUCUAGUGUUAAGAGAUGAAUUUUAGUGGAUGCCUCGCCCACAAUCAUUAGCACAUGGUGUGGUGCAAAAACAGGAGGUGUGGGAUGGAGCGUGGAAAAGUGACGUUAUUCGACACGUGACACACACUUUUUGUUAUUAUUUUAUAUUUAAAUUUUAUAAAAAAAUCUAUUA